GCUGGGGCUGUAGCUCAGUGGUAGGGCACUUGCCUUGCAUGUGUGAGGCACUGGGUUUAAUCCCCAGCCCUGCA
Molecule: transfer RNA, 74 nt
Filed under: Marmota monax (woodchuck)
Lineage: Eukaryota; Metazoa; Chordata; Mammalia; Rodentia; Sciuridae
Description: tRNA.Ala
Rfam family: tRNA
About the family: Transfer RNA (tRNA) molecules are approximately 80 nucleotides in length.
Source: RNAcentral